Molecule: non-coding RNA, 716 nt
Organism: Notechis scutatus (mainland tiger snake)
Lineage: Eukaryota; Metazoa; Chordata; Lepidosauria; Squamata; Elapidae
Source: RefSeq, a predicted model, not a curated record
AUUCACCCAAUAGAAUGAUUUGCAACAGGCUAAGCUAAUAUCAACCCAGGUUAUAACUCUGUUGAACAACUGUUACAAAGCAACCACAAAGGCUUCAAGGGAGCUGAGCGAUUGUGCCACACAAAUGCAGCGGCUAUUGCCUUCCUGUCCUUUAGGGCAAGUUGUUGAACUGCAUAGGGGACAGCACAAAAAAGGGGGGCAGCGGGGAAUGGACAAGGACAUCCAGGGCUAAGGAGAAAAAAAAUGGAUUUUUUAACACCGUCUUUGGAUUUCUCUCCCAACAGUUGUUGACAGGCUCUGCAAUCUACUACCCACCAGUGCCCUACAGGGGCGACAUUCCCGGAGGACUGGAAACCAACAGGACCAUCACAGUGCGAGGCUUUAUUCCGAAGAAUGCUACCAGGUUUGAAAUCAGAUUAAUAGUUGGCAAGGAUAUUGCUCUGCACCUUAAUUCACACAUGAAACCACAGAGAUAUUUGGUGUACAACUAUUAUCUGAAUGGCGAGUGGGGAGCCGAGAAAAAUGAUCUGCCCUUUAACCCUUUCCAAUUGGAGCAAUACUUUGAGAUCAUGAUCUGCUGUGACAGACACAAGUUCAAGGUUUACACCAGUGGCCGUCACCUGUUCAACUUGGCCCAUCGUUAUGCCUUGACUAGACAGAUCCGCACUCUUGAGAUCAAAGGAGACGUGACCCUUUCCUAUAUCAAUUAUUAAGCA